GUACUCAUAGCUUAACAUAGAGCACCGGUCUUGUAAGCCGGAGGUUGGAGGUUAAAAUCCUCCUGAUUACU
This 71-nucleotide transfer RNA is filed under the name Eumecichthys fiski. Its description in RNAcentral is "tRNA-Thr". It matches the Rfam family "tRNA". From Rfam's summary of the family: Transfer RNA (tRNA) molecules are approximately 80 nucleotides in length. Their secondary structure includes four short double-helical elements and three loops (D, anti-codon, and T loops). The record is from RNAcentral. Lineage: Eukaryota; Metazoa; Chordata; Actinopteri; Lampriformes; Lophotidae.